GGAGCGGGAGUGCCCACCAUCUGGAGGAGGAGACGGUUUGCAUUUUUUUCCUCUGGAAUUUCUCCCCAGGAGACCAGGUAUCUGAGGUUAGCUGUCCACUCAGCGCAGCUCCCAGGUUCGGCGCCUGGAAAACUUCACCUCCUGCUUUCUCCUGCCGCAGGCUCCGCCCCUGCUCCAGACCCUCCGUUCCUCUGGCCCUCCCCAUCCCGGCCACUCCCUCCCCGCUGCCUCUAGAGCAAGCGUGCGAGCAGGACAUCUCCGCGCCGGUCCUAGGCCCCAAAGCUGGCUGUGAAUAUCAAGUGUCUCUGUAGAGCGGAACAGGGGCACCCGCUCUCCCUGCGGUCCCCUGAGCUGCCUCCUUUCGGAAUAGCGCUGAGCGCGGCCAGCAGUUCUCUGGCGUCCUAGUCACUUAGCCCUUGCGAGACCCUGGGCGAAGCUCGCUUGGUGUUCUACUUUGCGGCAAGACCGAGUUCCAGCAGGAGCCUUCAACUUGGACAUACUCUUGGACUUCACUUCGCCAGUCGAAAGAGUGGGCGCAGCCGCCCAACGGAGCCCAACAGCACGGGCUCAGACGACGGGGCCCCUCGAGGGUGCACCUAGGGCGCAGCUGGGGCGCUCAGCUCCAGUGCGGGAGAAGUUCUCACCGAGCAGAGAGCGCGGCGGACGCUCCCUCGGCGCACGCCCAGGCAGCCUUCUGCCCAGCCCGCUGGACGGUCCUCAGGCUGUGAGGAGGAGCUUGCUGGAGGCUUCCAAGUUGUCCAGAGCCAGCGAGCCAGAGAGCGGAGUAUCCUGCCUAGCCUAGGAAGGGGGAGUGGCGCUGGCGGGUUGGAGUUGGGAACCCAGAGAGCGCCUGACCUCCCACCCAACUCUUUCCUAUGCUGUUUGCUACUUGGGCUCCGGGGAAGGUUCUAGCGGUGGGAGCCCUUUUUCCUAGAAGGCGGGUGAUGGAUCUCCUCCUGCUGCCCCCUCAGGGGCUCUUGGAGCGAGCUGGCGGUGCGUGAGCCGGGCACUGACCUGAGAGUGCCUCGCCUCGCAGCGUUUCCCAAACCACCUUAUUUUCCCAGCCCAAAGCCUCCCGGAAUCCAGGAGGGAGAGAGAAGAAGGUGGCCUUCAGGCACAGCUUCUUGGAGAUGUCCGCACAGAGCUUGCUCCACAGCGUCUUCUCUUGCUCCUCGCCCGCUUCUGGUGGCGCGGCCUCAGCCAAGGGCUUCUCAAAGAGGAAGCUGCGCCAGACCCGCAGCUUGGACCCAGCCCUGAUCGGCGGCUGCGGGAGCGAGACAGGCACAGACGGUUGCGCUCGGGGUUCCACAGCGGGCCGCCUCUGCUCCCCGCAGCCCCUAGCUGAGAGUCUUGGCCCCCGCUCGGUGUCUUCUCCCCGGAGCCCGACUUCUCGGGCCAACUGGCUCCCGACACCCAGACCUUUUUCCUCGUCCUUCUCCACACCCAGCACCCCGCAGGAGAAGUCGCCUUCUGGCAGCUUCCACUUUGACUACGAAGUCCCCUUGGGUCGAAGUGGUCUCAAGAAGAGCAUGGCCUGGGACCUGCCUUCCGUCCUGGCCGGGCCUGGCAGUGGCCGCAGCUCAGUGAGCAUCCUCUGUUCCUCUGGAGGAGGCCCCAAUGGCAUCUUUGCUUCUCCCAGGAGGUGGCUCCAGCAGAGGAAGUUUCAGCCCCCACCAAACAGUCGAGGUCACCCCUACAUCGUGUGGAAGUCCGAGGGUGAUUUCACCUGGAACAGCAUGUCGGGCCGCAGCGUGCGGCUGAGGUCAGUCCCCAUCCAGAGUCUCUCGGAGCUGGAGCGGGCUCGGCUGCAGGAAGUGGCUUUUUAUCAGUUGCAGCAGGACUGUGACCUGAGCUGUCAGAUCACCAUUCCCAAAGAUGGACAAAAGAGAAAGAAAUCUUUGAGAAAGAAACUGGAUUCCCUAGGAAAAGAGAAAAACAAAGACAGAGAAUUCAUCCCACAGGCAUUUGGAAUGCCCUUGUCCCAAGUCAUUGCCAAUGACAGGGCCUAUAAACUCAAGCAGGACUUGCAGAGGGAUGAACAGAAGGAUUCAUCUGAUUUCAUGGCUUCCCUCCUGCCAUUUGGAAGUAAAAGACACAACAAAGAAGUCUCAAGCAGUAACUCAUCUCUCAGCUCCACCUCAGAAACACCAAACGAGUUGACGUCUCCCACUACUCCAGAACCAGCUCCCCGGGCCAGGAGACGGGGUGCCAUGUCAGUGGAUUCCAUCACUGAUCUGGAUGACAACCACUCUCGACUGCUGGAAGCUUUGCAACUCUCCUUGCCUGCUGAGGCGCAAAACAAAAAAGAAAAGGCCAGAGAUAAAAAACUCAGUCUGAAUCCUAUUUACAGACAGGUCCCCAGGCUGGUGGACAGCUGCUGUCAGCAUCUGGAAAAGCAUGGCCUCCAGACAGUGGGGAUAUUCCGAGUGGGAAGCUCAAAAAAGAGAGUGAGACAAUUACGUGAGGAAUUUGACCGUGGGAUUGAUGUCUCUCUGGAAGAGGAGCACAGUGUUCAUGAUGUGGCAGCCUUGUUGAAGGAGUUCCUGAGGGACAUGCCAGACCCGCUUCUCACCAGGGAGCUGUACACAGCUUUCAUCAACACUCUCUUGUUGGAACCAGAAGAGCAGCUGGGCACCUUGCAGCUCCUCAUUUACCUUCUACCUUCCUGCAACUGCGACACCCUUCACCGUCUCCUACAGUUCCUCUCCAUCGUGGCCAGGCAUGCCGAUGACAAUGUCAGUGAAGAUGGGCAAGAGGUCACUGGGAACAAAAUGACAUCUCUAAACUUGGCCACCAUAUUUGGACCCAACCUGCUGCACAAGCAGAAGUCAUCAGACAAAGAAUUCUCAGUCCAGAGUUCGGCCCGGGCUGAAGAGAGCACAGCCAUCAUUGCUGUAGUGCAGAAGAUGAUUGAAAAUUAUGAAACCCUGUUCAUGGUUCCCCCAGAUCUCCAGAACGAAGUGCUGAUCAGCCUGUUAGAGACAGAUCCUGAUGUCGUGGACUAUUUGCUCAGAAGGAAGGCUUCCCAAUCUUCAACAAGUUCUGGGGCUCCGGCUGCCGCGCAGGCCUGCUCACAGGGCUCUGCCAGCGUGGUUACACCCUGACAUGGAGGGACCAGCUGAGGGUGAGGAAGUGCUUUGCUCUCCAUGCCCAUCCCAUGCUUGUUGGUUAGCUGAGACCGGUCAUGGGUGCCUAGGACCGUCCAGGGGCUUGGGGAUCUACGGAGGAAACCCUCCACCUACGGAGGCAAACCGGUGUUGCCUCCAACCCACCCACCCAACACCCUCAGCCUCAAUCCAUUACACUCUGAGGCUGGCAAGAGAAGCCUCUGCGUGCUUUGGGGCCCAGACCCAUGCAGACUGACAACUGCCCUACCCAGCCUUUCAGCAAAGUACAAGGCAUAGAAAGACAUACUUUAGACAGCUCCUCCUCUAGUGCAUCAUUGAUAGGAGGAAAUCUUUUCCAGAAAUCCAUACGUGACUGUGUUAAUGCCUUUACUUAAGGCCCUCAACUCAAAACUGACUUCUUAGAGUUGGAAUAUUCCAAGACAAAUCUGAGAGAAGGCAUUUGUGGCUGUUUGUCCCUUUUUUUUUUUUUCAGAUUUCCCCAAAGGGCGGUAUGGUUUUCUAGAUUUGACAAUUCUUUGGAAUGGGUUCUUAGGCAUAUUUAGCUGCUACUUUCUGACCUCUGGUGGGAAAAUAAAAUGAUAGAUAGGAAAAUAUUUUAAACAUUUAAAAAGGCCAUGAAAAACUAAAUAAAAAUAAAAGGCCACGGACUCCAUGAUAUGUAUUUUAUACUACUUUUCUGUUGAGUUGUACUAAUGUUAAAUACUAUUUAGCAAGUACAGUUUACAAGAAUUCCCGACCCCUACUGCCUCUACUGCUACAAACAUAAAUUAUUUACAAGUCCCUGUUACUUUGCCUCAUUUUCAUACUGAGAUCUGGAACAAAGAGUUAUUAACAGUAGCUUAGUCCAGCGCCUGCCACAUGAGGAACUCCGUAUAAAUAUAAACUUUUCCUUUUCUUACAGGCCAAGGGGUUAUUCCCCUAGGUCUGUUUCUCAAGCUGUUUGCCAUGUGUACUCACACUUUGUUCCCUUCCGUGGCUGGGAUAUACUGGGGGCUAAAAAGGAAGCCAUCGUCUCUCAGUAGAUGGCCCUCUCUGUCUAUACCCCUGGCUGUGACCUCAGCCACCCUGACGGGGUUCAUGAUCUGUGCCUACUGUAAGACAACUCAUCCACCUCUAUGUCUAGGGAGUAGCUCCUGCCGCCUCCCCAAAUGGCUUUCCUAUUUGAGGCCCCAGCUCUGAUCACUUUGGUGCUUGACUUAGGAGACUGAAUCAGGAGCCUGAAAGUCCAGGCGACCUUUCCUGCCCUUCCCUACACUUCAGUGCAUUCUGAUCACAAUCAGACUACAUUUCAUUGUCUGCAGCCUGCUUAUGACAGACAGAGGAGGUCCAGAAGCGGCCGGGAUGUGCACACCUGCCUUCCUUCCCCAAGCUUGGCCCCAGCCACCCUAAGGUCACGGCCACCAUAUUCACCCCCAUUCCAUCCACUGCUGCAAUUUGCUGCCAUCUGUAUUUUUCCUCCUGCUUUGGCUCUUAGCAGACUCUCAGCUUUCUGUCACACCUGUAAUUUGAAGAAGGAAAGGAAGGUUUGGCUUUUAGAGGUUCUCAAACAUUUUUGUGCAUCAGAAUCAACUGUAGCUCUUUUUGAAACACAGUCCAUUGGGCUCACCUCACAAUUCCCCUUUCAGUAGGCAAAGCUAGAUACCUGGGCUUUGAUGUCACACUCAGAAGAGGCCCAUAUUUCACUUAGUGACUCCCGGUGGCCGUCUUGAAAUUCCUUAUUUCUUUUUAGCAUGGUGCCUUACAUGUCCAUCUUGUACUGGGCCCCACAAUGGAGGUAGCCCAUCCUGCCAGUAACUCCAGAAUGGAACUCUGGAAUUUACGUUUCCAACAAGUUCUCAAGUGAUGCCGCCACAGGGAAUCCACUUUACCAUUUCACACCCAUGAAAUCAGAGUUUGCAGAAUCAACUCAGAGGAAAGAGGAAACGGACAAGGGCCUUCUCCCUCCUGCUCCCUUCCUCUACGUGAUGGGAUCCAAUAAGAACUAUGAAAAUGGAGGAAAGAUUGGUGAAGCAACUUCAUUUACUUUUGUGAUUGUUGUUAUUGUCCUUGUUUUGUUUCCACCAAACUAAACGCUGUCAUGAGGCACAUUGCUUUUUCUGCACCCUUCCCCAACAGUUAAUGUAAGUAUAAUUUCCCUGUCCGUACAUCAGUCCCGAAUCACUUUUCUGAAUGAAAUGUAAAGCUCUGAAGUGGAACAAUAUCAUAGUAAGUAAUUUGGGGAGUUGAGAAAAGGAAAACAGGAGAAUGACAAAAUGAAACGUCAAUGCAAAACACAAAAGGCAAGCAUGCUGCCAUAUAUCAACUCGGAUGGAGCUCUGUUUCCUCUGACCCUCCGAGCAGUCACUCAGAAAUACAGCAUGACACAACUCAUGGUUCCAUAGGGCAAAGAUAAUCUGCUCUCUCAGUUGAAUACCAAAUGUCCCAAGUACUUCGAGAAUUUUUUUCCAUGAGGUAUCUUUCUUUAUGCACACAACCCCUGAUGGAAUCUGCAACUUAUAGUAUUUUGUUAUUUGUUUUCUCUUCGGCAUGUUUCAUAAGACAGAUAAAACAAUUAUUGUGGUCUCUUGGAGCUACAGUAUGACCUUCCUGAAAGUUCCUUCCCAAUAGGAGGAGGCAAAACCAAAACACUCGUAGCCCUGAUGGUUAUUUUGUUUGGCCUCACGAAUAGACUUGACGUUUAAAAACCUCCCAUCAAAUAAGGCUUUAUGUACUUACUGUUGUCAAUGGCAAACUAUGACUUAUUCUUCUCGAGUAGACCCAGGACAUUUUCAUUAAUGUAUAGAAAAGUACCACCUGAGCAUGGAGAACAAACGAAAUUAGCCCACUAGGGUAGUGUACAGCCCUGUUCCAAACAUAGAACCCUGAUUCUGAGCAGAGCUCUGUGUUAGUUCAACAUAUUCGAUUUUUCUGAAUUUUGUAAACUUUUCUCAAGCAGGGUCAUGCCCCACGACAACAGACAAGUGUCCAUUUUGUUUUGUUUUCUGUUCCCUCAGCCAGAAAUAGGGAGAUUUUCCCCUUUUAAUUAGAUAUGGUGGUUAAAUAGCCCACCACUACUUUCCAGCAGAAAUAGUUAGGUUCCUUUAAUUUUUUUUUUCUUCAAAUUCAUUGGCGCCCUAAAGAGUUGGAAAAUCAUCCUCAUGGUUGUCCCCUGGCUGCUGCCCAUGAGAUUGUCUGAUAUCAGUUCAAAGAGGAGGCAAGGGAAGGACUGAUUUGUUCCAUGUGGGUAGGAAAUGUCCUGGGCAAACAUGCUAGAGCCCUGCUGCCUUGGUGACAGGCACGGCAUACCACAGGCGCUGGCCUAUUUCCCCUGGGUACUGACCCUUGCCAGAAGCCCAAGACAAAGCUGGGUCCCCCUAUGAGUGUGAUGUCGCCUCCAUUUUGCACGCACAAAACCAUUUGGUUGGGAAAGCAUUGCGCAGGACUGUGUUUAUCUUCUUAAAGCCACAAAGACUUUUGUUUGGAAAUAGUCAACCAAAGGAAAGCAAAAAGCAGUAAAGAAAACUGAAGUGUGGGAGGCAAAGGAGCAGGUUCUGCAACUUCUAAUCAACCUCUGAUCAUUUCCCUUUAAGAUGUUGUCAGGGCCACUGUUUUGAAGGUAGAAAAUAAAGUUGUUUCCAGAAGCCCUGACAUGCUACAGUCGGACG
This is an RNA transcript of Fukomys damarensis (Damara mole-rat), 6772 nucleotides long. It is a transcript of the gene named Rho GTPase activating protein 6, with no coding region annotated. The transcript has 12 exons. Lineage: Eukaryota; Metazoa; Chordata; Mammalia; Rodentia; Bathyergidae. The record is from RefSeq and is a predicted model, not a curated record.